Molecule: transfer RNA, 73 nt
Filed under: Mustela putorius furo (domestic ferret)
Lineage: Eukaryota; Metazoa; Chordata; Mammalia; Carnivora; Mustelidae
Rfam family: tRNA
About the family: Transfer RNA (tRNA) molecules are approximately 80 nucleotides in length.
Source: Rfam by way of RNAcentral
ACCUAGCUGGCUCAGUUGGUAGAACAUGUGACUCUUGAUCUCAGGGUUGCAGUUUCAAGCCUUGUGUUGGGUG